Molecule: ribosomal RNA, 433 nt
Filed under: uncultured bacterium
Lineage: Bacteria
Description: bacterial SSU rRNA
Rfam family: Bacterial small subunit ribosomal RNA
Source: RNAcentral
GAUGAACGCUGGCGGCGUGCUUAACACAUGCAAGUCGAACGAACCUUCGGGUUAGUGGCGGACGGGUGAGUAACGCGUGAGAAUCUGCCCUCAGGAGGGGGACAACAGCUGGAAACGGCUGCUAAUACCCCAUAUGCCGCGAGGUGAAAUGAAUUUCGCCUGAGGAUGAGCUCGCGUCUGAUUAGCUAGUUGGUGUAGGUAAUGGCUCACCAAGGCAUCGAUCAGUAGCUGGUCUGAGAGGAUGAUCAGCCACACUGGGACUGAGACACGGCCCAGACUCCUACGGGAGGCAGCAGUGGGGAAUUUUCCGCAAUGGGCGAAAGCCUGACGGAGCAACGCCGCGUGAGGGAUGAAGGCCUCUGGGCUGUAAACCUCUUUUAUCAAGGAAGAAGAUCUGACGGUACUUAAGGAAUAAGCCACGGCUAAUUCCGUG